This is a long non-coding RNA of Homo sapiens (human), 17001 nucleotides long. RefSeq lists it as uncharacterized. The record is from RefSeq and is a predicted model, not a curated record. Lineage: Eukaryota; Metazoa; Chordata; Mammalia; Primates; Hominidae. The transcript has 2 exons.
GCUGGAGAAUGGCUGUUCUUAAGUCAGGUUUUAUUUUUAGUUCCCGCUCCAGCUCUGUGUACGCAAAUCGCAGGGUCAGGAGGCACACCCUGGGAGGCACAGUGCAUGCUCAUGCUUUUGGUAACAUCUGAUUCACUCAGCCCCAGACCCAGCCUAAACAGGUCCUGAGGGAGAUUGUUAGAUCUGCCUUUGAAUUAAAACCUCCACUGAGGUGAGAAGCUGUGGUGUAACGUUUGAUUAAUUUACCUAUGAUUUCUGAUCCGUCGUGAAGUAAAUCAGCCUUGAUGGAGGAAUUGUACUGAUGGAAUAUUGAGGAAAUGCCAGGUCUAGUUAGAGAUUUAGAGACCUUCCCCCAUCCCCAACUCUGCACGCAGGUGCCACACAUUUGUGCCCCCUCACACUCAGGGGAGUUGCGUUCAUGCCGGGGGCCGUGUACACACUUGGGGGCAUCAAGAGAAGGGCACACAGAGGGGGCACAUAGAGUGGGUGGGAGCCUCAGGCCCCAUCCUUGUUGCCGACGGUUUUACCAUCACAUUCAUGACUCACUCUUCAAGUUUAACACUUGAAUCUUGAAAGGCCCUUGGAAAGGAUGUAAGAUGGUUUCAUUUUGUAAUAGCUUCUCUAGUGAAUAGUUUUAGAGACAAGUUCUGGGGUCUUGAAUCUGAAUACUCUAAGAGCUAAUGGGUUCAUUUGGUAAAAAUGUAUGCUGUUGCUUGAGAAAGAGGGCAGAGUUUAUUAAUCAAUUCUUCCUUCUCCCUCAGAAGACAAAUGUGGCAGCAGUCACACACACUCUCAGAAACACCAUCAAAUUUGUAUCCUACUGACUUUGCCACAGUCACACUUAAAAUGACAAGUUCAAAAAGAAAAAUGAGAACACCCUGGAAAAAGGGAAACCAUAAAUGUGAUGGAAAUACUUAAAGUCUUUUCAAUUGUUAACAACUUAUGCUAAUUUGAGGAAUUCUUCAGUGAUAUUUUUUAAAGAACUCAAAAACAUUUAGUGGGUAAUCAGUAUGACUUGGAAAUCUUUAAUAUGGAGAGCAGAGUCAGGAAAUAGCAGGUUCAUGGGGCAAGAAGUUUUAUUGAUCGCUGUAGGACAGAAUAAUUAUUGCUUUGUAGCCAGAGGCGGCAGUUGUUCCGGAGGGAACAGUAGAAUCUAUUUUUUAAACAAGGAUUCUUAUUUGUGUGUUUUUUUUUCUGUCUUAGAGACCUGAUAUCAUUGUAAAUUCUGCAACCAUACCUGGUCGAUCUUUGCUGUGGUUAAACUUGAAAGGCACCGCAGAAUAUGAACAGGAGUUACAGCGAUCCAGGGUGUAUGAUGUUUCUGUUUGGGAGGCUUCUUGGUGAGACGGAGAUUUUCUUACUGAUUCCAGGAGUCAGAGUGGUAUAAAGGGAGGGGCCUGUGGCUGCAGCCCAAGAUCUGAGUUCUUAUCUUGCCUUUGCUAUUAACUUAGCUCCAUGGGUGAGUCCCCUUCUUGGGGUUCUCAUCUUUGCAUGAGGGGGGUAUUAGUCUGUUCUCACACUGCUAAUAAAGACAUACCUGAGACUGGUAAUUUAUAAAGAAAAAGAGGUUUAGGCAGGGUGUGGUGGCUCACGCCUGUAAUCACAGCACUUUGGGAGGCCGAUGCGGGCGGAUCACGAGGUCAGGCGUUCGAGACAAGCCUGGCCAACAUGGUGAAACUCCGUCUCUACUAAAAAUACAAAAUUAGCUGGGCGUGGUGGCGCAUGCCUGUAAUCCCAGCUACUCGGCAGGCUGAGGCAGGAGAAUUGUUUGAACCCAGGAGGCAAAGGUUGCCGUGAGCCGAGAUCGCGCCACUGCACUCCAGCCUGGGCAACAGGGCGAGACUCCAUCUAAAAAAAAAAAAAGAGGAGGUUUAAUGGAGUCACAGUUCCACAUGGCUGGGGAGGCCUCACAGUCAUGGUAGAAGGCAAAUUAGAAAUGAGGAGCAAAGGCACGUCUUACAUGGUGGCAGGCAAGAGAGCCUGUGCAGGGGAAUUUCCCUUUAUAAAACCAUCAGAUCUCUUGAGACUUACUAUCCUGAGAAUAGCGUGGGAAAAACCCGCCCCAUGAUUCUGUUACCACCCACUGGGUCCCUCCCACAACAUGUGGGGAAUUAUGGGAGCUACAAAUCAAGAUGAGAUUUGGGAGGGGACACUGCCAAACCAUAUCAAGGGGGUUGUGGUAUAGAAUCUCUAAAGAGCUUUCUAGUCUGAAAUGUCUAGGUUUGUGACCCUUGUGAAGGAAGAAAGGAAGGAGGGUUUGGGUGCUAGUUUUCCUAUAUAAUGCACGAGGAAUGGAGUUUAGUUUGGAGUUAAGAUCCAUGGACGUCUAGCCCAGGAAUCUGUCCAAAGCACAGACAUCAAGUUUGUGAAUUACUGUUGGAGGUGAUGACAGUUUAACAGAUUGUGAGACACUGUCAUUAGGUCAGCAAGUUACGGUGUAUGCCUGGGUAGAAUUUUCCCCCAUAAAGAAUUGUAGACCCCAGUUCCCCAUUGGAACCAGAGAACUGAGAGUUUUUAGCCCUUAGCUGAGUAAUCAGCGGAAGCUGAGUCAAGUCAGUUGGUUGUGGAUAACAGCCUGGGAAUGUUUGGGAAUUUUGCCCUUGUUUCAUGGGGGAAGGGAGAGAAUGCCUUUCCUUGUCAGAUGGAGGUUGCAGAGCUCCAGAUCUUCGAGGACACUUUGGGAUUGUCCAAAGUAGUUUUCUAGUAACUGGAGUCACUGCAUUGAAAGAAAGUGGUUUUAUUAUCUUAGAUGAUAGUUUUACAGAGCACUUAGGACCCUGUGCAGUCCCAUGUUUUCUUGCAUGGCUCUUUUAAAUUAAUGUAAGCUGUGAAUUAAUGCAAGCCAUCAUUAGUCUGUGAAAUGGUACAAGGAAGGAGAAACAGCAUGGCGGCAGCUCCAGGAGAUGUCAUCACUAGGGGAUUCCCAUCAGCAGGCAGAGCUCCAUUAAUAAAGACGCAUUUAGAGACCUGGGCUCUGUGACCAAUCGGCCGUUCAGAGCAGCGUUCCUGCUUGUGAGCUAAUCAGGGCUAAUCUUUCAUAUUAAAAGUAUUAAGGAACAUAUGACAUUAAAGCGUCACCCAGUGCCGCGGAGGAUUAUGGCUCUUAUUAGUGGAGCAAAAUGUAAAACGUUUUGGUUUAGUAAAUCUAUAAGGCUUGAUUUAUUCAUAAGCGCAUGCAAUGCUUGCAAGGGGCAGCUGCCAAAUAAUUAUUGUUUAUGGUGAGAAUGUAUGGAAAUCAUUUAAUCCAGUGACGACUUCAUUGUUAUUUAUUGAAAAGCAGUGACAUUACCUCUUAAUGUCUGGGGCUGGGGAGCUUUGGAGAUUUAGUCGGUGCCUGCCGAGCCCCCAAAAAGAUGCUCGUGGAAGAUUGCAGGUAAGUAUGUGUGAUGAUGUGGCUCCAAAUAACACCCCUUGGCUUGUAAAUGGAGACGUAUUUAUGAGUGCUUUCUACUGUUGCCAUAAAAGUGUUGGAAUUAUAGUGCCUUAGGAGUCAUGCUGCUAAUUUUUAUUUUCCCCGUUAUUAAAAUUUCUGUCAUUUGAAUUGCGUACUCUGCAGUCUUGGCAGAAUUACUCAAUUUACCAUUCAAAGUUAAAUCAAAAUUAGUGGAGUUAGUUAAUAUACAACUCAUUUGAAUAAAGGAAUGUUUAUUCAUGAAGUGUGAGGAGAAAGUGUGAAGAUGGCCUUAUGUUUAUGUGGGCAGCUCCUGCCAAGUUUUAAAGCCUGGUUUUAGGAACGUUUUUGGGAAUUGCCAUUUUUACUGUAGUUGAUUGUAGAGGACAAGAUGCUGGCAGGUGGCACAUGGGACAGGAAAGUGACUAGACAAGCAGGACUUACCCAGCUGUGACAUGGCUCAACUGUGGACUCCAAAAAGUAGAAUUAGGUUGUGUUUUUAUGAGACUGACCCUUUUUAAAAUUUAUAUUUUAUAAUGUAAAUGACAUUUCAGUAAUAUUAAGGGAACUUAAACAAUCACAUUAUUUUCUUUGGUUAUCUGACAUUGUAACUGGAGUUCCAUUUGUUUAUCAAUAAGAAAAUUUAGUAUAUAUGCUAAAAACUCAUAAUGAAUCCUAACUGGGCACCCAGGCUUGAGGGAAGCAGAGAGACACUCAUUAAAUAUUAGAUAGCUUAGUAAUAAGAGAGCAGAACACAUUGGUAUAAGAAAGGGUAGGAUUAUUUGACAAGUAUGUCUGUAAAUAAACCAAAAGUCAUAGUUAGAUAUUUUAUUAAAAAAUGUUUAAAUAUUCUAAAAGUUUUAAAUAAAUAUUUUAAAAAGUGAGUUAGUAUUGUAUUGUCAAAAAGCCAUUUUUGAUGAUGGUGUGUGAAAGAGGGAACAUUCAGGUAGGAAACAAAGUAACCCUUUCUCAAUAGGCACUGAAUGGACCUUUUACAACAAUUCCCAUGGUUUUGAAUUCUAUCUGAUCAAGUAGAGAGUCUGUGUACACAUUCAUCAUGGUGUAGACCAGGAUGGGCUUGGCUUGUAGAUGUGUGUGACAGAGAGAGUAGGUAUGUAUGUGUUUGUAACUUUUGGUGUAAACAGUAUUUAAUUUUAAUAUCUAUCAUUUACACAUCACAUCAUAAAAGAGUCCUGCUGUGAAUCAAAACCCUUCAUAUAGGUAAUGGCAAAUAACUCUUUGUUUAUGAGUAAAAAAUGAAUAGUUUUUUUUUCCCCCCAGAAAUCCGUGUUUGGUGUUUGUAUUUGUUUUUCACUACUCACAAUAUGCCACACACUCUCUUUUUUAUUUUUAUUUUUUUGAGACAGGGUCUCAUUCUGUCUUCCAGUCUGGAAUGUAGUGGCGUAAUUUUGGCUCACUGCAACCUCUGCCUCCCGGGGUCAAGCUAUCCUUCUACCUCAGCCUCAUGAGUAGCUGGAACUACAGGCACGCACCACCAUGCCUAGCUAAUUUUGUAUUUUCGUAGAGAUGGGGGUCUUCCUGUGUUGCCCAGGCUAGUCUCGAAUUCCUGAGCUCAAAUGAUCUUUCCACCUUGGCCUCCCAGAGUGCUGGGGUUACAGGCGUGAGCCAGUGUGCCUGGCCCCACACACUCUCUUUGGUCAUCUUGAACAGUGAAUGAAUGAAUCACGAAUUUCAUUCUGUUUGUGUCAUAGCUCUCCAAUUAGAAGAUACUUUUGUGUGCACCUCCUGUGGUACCAGGUAACGACGUUUAAUCCUGUCAAUCCUCAGAACAUCCUUUUGAAGUGGCUGGUAUUAUUCUUAUUUCAUAGUUGAAGAAAGUGUGUUUGUUCCCAGAUCAGGCAGUUUGAAGUAGAUUUUAAGCUAAGAGGAUUCUGGCCAGUUCUGAAAUCGAUGCUUUGAAAAUAGCAGGAGGUCUGUAAAUAUUUGUUUAUUGAUUAGAUUAUAUCAUUAAGACUUUAGAUUAAAAUGGUCAGACUGAAUAUCACUGAGAAAAGUUGUAGAGUUGGUUUCUUGGUGAUUUUUAAGAGUAGGGUAGAAAGCUGCUGUCCAGAAUAUUUUCCAAUUUGUCUUUUUUGGCGGCAAAUAAGUGGAAGAGAUGUGGUCUGGAAGUUCUUUGCCGAAUGGUAACCAUGAGAUUAUGUAAAGUUAUGUAAAUUGCAUCAGAUGCUAUUUGGGUUUUUCUGCGCUACAUGAAAACCGUAAGCAUGAAGCAGUGACUAGAAGGUUUUCCUUUUUAGUGCUAGUCAUAAAUGAAUUUAUUUUCUCCUGCUUCUCAACCCAGCAACAUAUGUAAUUUAAGUCAAGCAUGUGUUUGAUUCUGAGUGGAAUUCGAGGGGGGAGUUGGUGCUGUGUGUUUCCAUGGCCUCGUGGCUCAUUUUUGCUUCCGUGUUAACUCCUUCACUUCCAUAAUUGUCAGAGCCUCCAACUCAUCUGGCCUCUCCCUCCCUUGGUGCCCCACCUCCCCUUGUAAGGAUCCUGGCCCUGGCCUGCUCCAGAUGCAGCUCAGAUGAUCACGGCCUCGGGUGCAUGGAGGGCUCAGCUCCCAUCUGGCCCCGUUCCUGCUCUGGGUGGACCUUUGAACGUCCUGAAUGAUCCUUGGGUUUCACUUGUAUGGGAAGCCCCGUGGCAGCUUUACACAGACAAGGCCCCCGGGCACAGCUCGGCCUGCAGGAUGUCUGGCUGCUCCAGGCUUGACCCUGCCUCGUUGACCUCCCUUUAUUCCCCCUCCACCUCCACCUGUUCACUCUUCUUCGUGCCACUGACCGUCCUCUAGUUUGUUGGACUGGGGAGCUUCUCCCACUGUGCUCGCAGCUCUGGCCUCCUAUCCAAGCCUCUGACUCCCCUGCUGCUUCUUAUUAAGUCUUCUCUCAUGGCUCCAUAUUUCAGGGCAUACCUCCAUUCUAGGGCCAUGCAGAUGUUCUAGGGACAUGCUGAUGUCCCAGGGGUAUGCAGAUGUUCUAGGGCCAUGCCUCCAUUGCAGGGCCACCAUGCCUCCAUUCCAGGGCCACCAUGCCUCCAUUCCAGGGCCAUGCAGAUGUUCUAGGGCCAUGCUGAUGUCUCAGGGCCAUGCAGAUGUUCAAGAGCCAUGCCUUCAUUCCAGAGCCACCAUGCCUCCAUUCCAGGGCCAAGUAGAUGUUCUAGCGCCAUGCUGAUGUCCCAGGGCCAUGCUGAUGUUCUAGAGCCGUGCCUCCAUUCCAGGGCCAUGCAGAUGUUCUAGGGCCAUGCAGAUGUUCUAGAACCAUGCCUCCCUUCCAUGGCCAUACAGAUGUUCUCGGGCCAUGCCUCUGUUCCAGGGCCAUGCAGGUGUUCUAGGGCCAUGCCGGUGUUCUAGGGCAAUGCCUCCAUUCCAGGGCCAUGCAGAUGUUCUAGGGCCAUGCAGAUGUUCUAGGGCCAUGUUGAUGUCACAGGGCCAUGCAGAUGUUCUAGGGCCAUGCAGAUGUUCUAGGGCCAUGUUGAUGUCACAGGGCCAUGCAGAUGUUCUAGGGCCAUGCAGAUGUUCCAUGGCCAUGCAGAUGUUCUAGGGCCAUGUUGAUGUCACAGGGCCAUGCAGGUGUUCUAGGGCCAUGCAGAUGUUCCAGGGCCAUGUUGAUGUCACAGGGCCAUGCAGAUGUUCUAGGGCCAUGGUGAUGUCACAGGGCCAUGCAGAUGUUCUAGGCCCAUGCAGAUGUUCUAGGGCCAUGUUGAUGUCACUGGGCCAUGCAGAUGUUCUAGGGCCAUGUUGAUGUCACAGGGCCAUGCAGGUGUUCUAGAGCCAUGCCUCCAUUCAUUCCGGGGCCAUGCUGAUGUCCCAGGGCCAUGCUGGGUUCCAUUGGGUUUCACUCCAGGGCUGUGCCAACAUUCCAGAGCCAUACCAACGGUCGUGCCUCCAACUCGAGUCCUUAGGUUCUGCCGGUCAUUAGGGAGAGUCUGCCUUUUUGAGCCUGGCUCUCAGGGAAUGGUUGGUUUGUGCAAAGCUUGUCUCCUGAGUCUAGAAUCAUGUUAAAGCUUGGUGAGUACGACCUUCAGUUCAAAGUCUUGGGAACUUAGAUGGUUCCCAAGGAUUAUUCAGAGGUUAAUUUGGAAUUGUUUUAGUCAGGGUUUUCCAUAGAAAUAGACCUGAUAGGGUCAGUACAUACAUAGCAAGAAAUUUUAUGUUUAGGAACAUGUGAUUGUGGAUGACCAGUGAGCCCAAAAUCUGAUGGGGAAGAUCUGUAGGCUGGAAACUUAGGAAAGAGCUGCAGUUUGAGUCUGAAGCAGGGGGAGCCAGUGUUGCAGAUGAAGUCCGAAGGCUGCCUGCUGGAGAAUCCCCUCGGGCUUUGGGGAGGUCAGCCUUUCAAUCUAUUUGGGCCUUCGACUGAUUUGAUGAGGCCCACCCACAAGCAAGAGGAUGAUCUGCUGGUCAGUGUGUACUUAUUUAAAUGUUAGUCGCAUCCAACAACACCUUCACAGAACCACCCAGAGUAAUGUGUGACCAGAUGUCUUGUCUGGGCACCGUGGCCCAGCCAAGUUGAUGCAUAAAAUUAACCCUGCCAGGCGUGGAUUCAGAGCUAGAGCUGAAUCGCCCACUUGCUCUCCCCUGGCGUCAUCUUAAUGCCUUCUGGAGAGGCAGAACAUUUUGUGUACACUUGGAAUCACUGUGCUACUUUGCCCUAACAGACAAUGUUCAGUUGAUAUUUCUGAAUAUAGAUGCCCUUAACAGAAAGCUCUGGUAGGAAUUCGAGAGAUUGCGAAGUAAAUGCAUGGAUUAUCUUUAAUGCUGUGAAAGUAUAAAUGUCAGAGUGGCAGGUCAGAGAGUCUCUUGAAAACCAAUACGAAGUGGGUAGGAAGAAGAGGCAGAGACAUUUCACCCACUUUUUAGGCUCACUGCCUGCUGCUCAGCAGGGCCACCAUGAUUUAUCUGAAUUCUGUGUCAAUUUCCAUAACUGCAUAUCACUCUACAGGUACCCACUGGGAUUACUUACAAGAGAUUUUGCUAAUGAGGAUGUACUUCCGGGUACAGGGUUCUGUGGCAUGCAUUUAAAAAGGCAGUAGCUGGCUGGGCGCCGUGGCUCACACCUGUAAUGUAAUUCCAGCACUUUGGGAAGCCAAGGAGGGAGGAUCACUUGAGGCCAGGAGUUUAAGACCAGCCUGGCCAACAUGGUGAAAUGCUGUCUCUAUUAAAAAUACAAAAAUUAGCCAGGCGUGGUGGCACAUGCCUGUAAUCCCUACUUGGGAGGCUGAGGCAGGAGAGUUGCUUGAACCCGGGAGGCGGAGGUUGCAGUGAGCCAAGAUCAUGCCACUGCACUCCAUCCUGGGUGAGGGAGCGAGACUCCAUCUCAAACAAAACAAAACAAAACAAAACAACAACAACAACAAAACGCAGUAGCUAGUGUGCCUUCAUCAUGGGUUGCCUUGAACUCCUUUGAAAUCCUGCAUCUUAAUCACUAUAUGGCCUGUCCUCAACCCCAGGAAAAAAACGAACACAUGAGCAGCCUUUGAGGUUAGCAUUACACUUCCACGAGGAUGAGAGGGGCCUCCAGCCUGGGGUGUGCCUUUUAGAGAACGCAGAGAAUCACAUGCACAGACAACCAUGUGUAUUCAAGAGUACGGAGAUGCCUCUCCCUCGGAUCCUGUUUUCAGGACUGGUCUCCAGCACCCUGUACCUACACAUCAGGCUCAAAUGGAGAAAUUCUCUGCAUCUCUUGUGCCCUUGGGAAAAAAGACCUGUGUCCGAAUGCUGUGAUUUUGUGAGUUGUGGUGUUGCCACUGUCAGAGUAAGAGAUAAAUUAAUGGUCAAAUUACUUCUUUCAGAAAGCACAAAUAUAAUAAAUUUUUUACAGAGUGAAGAAUCACUUUGCAAUAGUUCUGAGCAGUUUCUAUUCUGGAAGAAAUUAGUACAGAAUUUCCAACAGUUGUAUACAUUGACUGGGGCUUCAUUAUUUAUUUAUUUAUUUAUUUUUGAGACAGAGUUGCACCUUGUCGCCCAGGCUGGAGAGCAGUGGCUCUAUCUCGGCUUACUGCAGCCUCUGCCUCCUGGGUUCAAGCAGUUCUCUGCCUCAGCCUUCUGAAUAACUGGGAUUACAGGCGCCCGCCACCACGCCCAGCUAAUUUUUUUGUAUUUUUAAUAGAGAAGGGGUUUCACUAUCUUAGCCAGGCUGGUCUUGAACUCCUGAUCUUGUGAUCCAGCCGCCUCGGCCUCCCAAAGGGCUGGGGUUACAGACAUGAACAAAAUUAACUUUGUUUUACAAAAUGAAAAUGAAAUAUUUUACCAUACAAAUUCACACUGUUCUCACAUAUGGGAAUCUGGAACCCUAGACGUGACAUGGAUGAAGCCGAUGUUGACUUUUUACAUUGGCAACUGAGUGAAUGUUGAAUGCUAGAACUGUGGAUAGUUUUAUUUCUUUAUAAACAUGCUUAAUGAGAUUCAGUGCUGAAAAAAUAGAUAAAAUAUUUAAUUUUAUUUUAAUAUUUUAAAUUAAAAUGUUUGAUAUUCACUAAUUUUAAUUUGCAUUUCCCUAUUAAUUUUAGUAGACACUUUAGAAAGAGUAGGAGGACAUUUGGAAUCGUAGGACACUUAGAAGGAAAAUAGCAUUUUUGAACAAAAUGAUUAAAAAAUUUGAAUUUAGCAUUUUCUUCAGUUUACGUAUUUUGAUGAAAAGAAUUAAGAUGAAGUAGACUGGGUAUAGUGAUAUUUUAUCUUUUAAUCUGUUAGGUGAUUUCUGUGACUAGAACAUAAAUUAUGUGAAAAUCUAGAUUUUUAACUAAAUAGUUAAUUUUGCUGAAAGGAAGGCCAAAUAGAUAAAGAUAAAAUCAUUUAUGACUUACGUCUUUAUCUGAUUACUCAUCCAAACAUUGCUGGCCCAUCAGCAGAACACCCAGACUCAUGUUCUCAUAAUUGAAUUUAGUCAUCUCUGGCUUUUGGCCAACUUUCUGUCUUCUGUGCUCUAGUGCUUUUCCAGACUUUUUGAUUGACAUUAUGAAGAUAUAUUUGUCAGUGAAGGAGGACAGGGCAUACUUUACUUAAAAGCCUGUUUGCUUGAUUAAUAACUUGUAAAUCUUAAACAUGUGCUACGUGAGCUACAUUUGUAUUUGCACUUGGUGUGUCUGGGCCUGUUUUAGGGUUCAGAUACAGCCCCUGUGAACUAGAAGUCUUUCUAAGGAUGAUUUGGGCACGCGUGGAUUUAGGGAGCCAGUUUCUACAUCCACCAGGCCUGUCUCUUCCAUGAGACUGAUCUGCCUGAGAAUAGACCAGUGCCGUCCUUUCCCACCUGUCCCGUCUUCUCUCCCACUCUUUCCUCUCCUACGUUGGUUGAGAAGGAUGUCACCAACUGAGGUAUCGAGAUCUCAUGCCCACUAUGCCAGCCGUGACAUGCAGACACACCAGUUUAUCUUUUUAUGUUUACUCAUGACACUGCCACGUUAUUCGUGUUAUUUUGAUCAAGACUAAUGACAAUUUUAAUCAUCUAAGCCAAAAGAAAAUUUUUCUCUUAUGGUCAAAGAAAUUUUUUAAAAAGUUGAAUUAUAUACUGCCUACUUUUUGUUGUUGUUGCAGAGAAAUUGGAUAGGAUAAACAAUACGAGACUGUUGGGAUAAGAGUCUGGGGCAUAUAGGCUGCUGUUAAAGUAGUACUUAUGUAUAUUUUUAUUUAUUUAUUUUUUUGUUUUAUUUAUAUUUUUUUUUUUUUGGAGAGGGAGUCUCGCUCUGUCACCCAGGCUGGAGUGCAGUAGCGUGAUCUCGGCUCACUGCAACCUCCAACUCCCGGGUUCGAGCGAUUCUCCUGCCUCAGCCUCCCAAGUAGCUGAGAUUACACGCACGCACCACCACACCCAGCUAAUUUUUUGUAUAUUUAGUAGAGAAAGGGUUUCACUAUGUUGCACAGGCUGGUCUCGAACUGCUGACCUCAGGUGAUCCGCCUACCUCGGCCUCCCAAAGUGCUGGGAUUAUAGGCAUGAGCCACUGUGCCUGGCCUAUUAUGUAUAAUUUUAAAUGUAGGAUGGAAGGUAUCAGAUCAUUUACUGAAUAUAUUUAUGGGAGUAAUAUAGGAGUUUUAUUCCAAAUGUCAGAGUUGCAGUACACAGGAAAUUACAUCCUUUGUGAUGAUUGAAAUGAAUGAAACAUUUCUCAACGCCAAAUUGAAAAUGCAUGAUGGGAGGACAUGAGUUCUUCAAGAUUCUUGUAUGGGGGGUAUAUGAACAAGAAAGCUUGAGGACCAGUUUUCACAAAUGGUACUCAACCAUAGCCCUUCUCAUUUACCCAUUAAGAUGUUUUUUUUUUUUUUCUUUAUGAUUUAGAUGCUUAGAUGUUCUUAGGGCUUUGGAAGGAUUUAUCAUAAUUGAGCAUUUGCUGAGUUUCUGUUUCCGUCAUUGGAUUCCUUUGGUAAUAUAUUUGCAAGUCUUUCUCUGAGUUCUUUGCUAAUAGGAAAACAAGAGCUGACAGGAAGAUCUUGGGUGGAUGGGUAAAAAUGGCUACUGGCUGUUGAUUUGGUCCACUGUAUCACCACAUUACUGUUGACAUAGUAAUGGAAACACUUUAAUAUCAAUCAGUGCAUAUUGGGGUUCUAUUCUGUGCCUGGUGUUUUUUGGGUGGGAAUAUAUGAUACGGUUGUUAUUAAGCAUUUUAUAUUGAAGCACACUGGUAAUAUAGUCAACUUUUGGCCAAUAGUGUGUACUCAGUGAUGAACUCAAUUUUGGCAAAGGGUGUCUUCUGUGGUGGCCCCCAGUGUACUUAUUUUAUUUAUUUAUUUAUUUAUUUUUAUUUAUUUUGAGAUGGAGUCUCACUGUGUCACCCAGGCUGGAGUGUAGUGGCACGAUCUCGGCUCACUGCAAGCCCCACCUCCUGGGUUCACACCAUUCUCCUGCCUCACCUCCCGAGUAGCUGGAACUACAGGUGCCCACCAUCACGCCUGGCUAAUUUUUAGUAUUUUUAGUAGAGACAGGGUUUCACCAUGUUAGCCAGGAUAGUCUUGAUCUCCUGACCUUGUGAUCUGCCUGCCCCGGCCUCCCAAAGUGCUGGGAUUACAGGCGUGAGCCACCACGCCCGGCCCCAGUGUACUUAUUUAUUUGUUGGCCAUUUCUGCCCUGCUGUUGACUGUUUCACUCCUUGGCUUAGCAAGAGGUGUUGGGAGCUGAUUUGAAACUCUAAUCUCUGGAGGCAUGGGGAAUAUGACUCCUCUAUUCUGGGUGGGGACUUCUCUGAGAUAGCAUUUCUUUUCUUUUGAGUUUAAAAAUGUGUCUGUCUAAGCCUGGGCAACAUAGCAAGACACCAUUUCUAAGAAAAAAAAAAUUAACCAGGUGUGGUGGUGCAUGCCUGUAGUCCCAGCUACUCAGGAGGCUGAAGCAGGAGGACUGCUUGAGCUCAGGAGGUCGAGGCUGCAGUGAGCUGUGAUUGCACCACUGUACUCCCACCUGGGUGACAGAGUGAGACCCUGUCUCAAAAUAUCUUUAUGCUAUACAUUUUUAGAGGUCUGUUCAACAGCUAUGGAAACUUCCAAGAGCCAGGCACUGACCUGACCCUGGCACCUGGAGCGUCCCUUCUGGGAGAAUCCGCCUGUGGAUGAAUAGAAAGGCCCCUGCUCUCUGCUGGUAUUGAAAUAAAACACUGGCAUCUCUGGAACUGAGUUAUGUCUAGUAAGUGGCUCCUCCGACCAGUAUACGGGGUGGGAAGUGUUGGUGUGAGUCACCUGGCCUGAGCUAGGGCCUCAGGCCUGCCUAGCACUGAAAGGAGCCCAGAAAAAAGCGACUUCAGAAAAAAGCGACUUCAUCUGCUUGCAUCACACUGUCCUCAUCUUCACCGUGACAAACUGACACAAUCUUGCUCUCGGUUUGAUGGCAAACGCUCUCUGUAACCUGUCAUGUGGAAAGUUCCCUCCUCAUCAGAUAUAUAUAUAUAUAUUUUUUUUUUUACAGGUAAGAGGCUUUAAUAGGCCUUGACAAAGGGCCGUAUGAGUGGAGAAGUAUCUGCGCCCUAAUAGCAGGGCACUUGAAAUACAGCCACACGGGUACAGUGUCUUUCCCUUAGCCAGUAGCUCCUCACUCGGCCACGUCCACUGUCCAGAAUACUGUCGAAGAGUUGCCUUUUUACCCCCUGUGAGCUCAGAGAAUUUUGAUCAUACUUGCCUGUGCUAUAUAAUUGUUUAUGUAUAACUGAUCUCAGCCAUUUGCUUAUGAAAGUAAGGCUGCGUGAAUGUUUUGUUUUCAGAAAUACACAUUUUGGAUCCUAAUGCCACCACUUAAUUAAACGUGCGAACCUGGGCUAGGUAUUUUCUCUCUCAACUUUGUGACCUGCAGUAUUCCCAUAUGUAAACUGGAGAUAAUGAGACCUGCCUUACAGGAUCGUUUUGUGCAUUAAAUGGGAUUUGUGUAAACUCCUUAGAGCAGUGCUAAGAAUGAAGGUGGUAAUGAGAAAUGCAGUUUUUAUCCAUCCUCAUUCUUCUGGUUAAGGAUGGUAUUUUAUUCACCUUUUGAUUUCUUAUAAUGCCUUGCACAUAGUUAAAGCUCAGCAGUUGUUAAAUGAAUAAGGAACAAAGCCCCCAUGAAAAAACAACAACACACAAAACUAAUUAGUACUAGUGUAUGUGUGUUAUUCACUGGAGAGCCUUUUCAAAUCCUACCACAUUCAGAGACAACAAUCACAUUACUUGAUUUUGAAGCCCAGCACAUGUUGGAAGCAGAAAAUUAGAAGCAUGAGAAGACAGCUGUUAGUCAUGCAUAUUGAUAUCACAAAUAAAUCCUAGUGGGCCACCCAAUUGCAAGGAAGGAGGUAGAGGAGCUGGGAAAAGUGGUAUCAACAGUAGAGCAAUCUAAUGCCUUUUACCAGAGGAGCGGAUAGCCCCAUCCACAGAUCCAGAGGGUGUGUGGCUACUACCAAGGGAAUUGCCAGCCAUUGCAUAGUAAAGCAGAAUAAUUGAUUUAUGGCACUCAAUCCUCCAAAAAGUUGUAAAUUUCUUUGGUGUCUACCAAGUAGGUGGCAACAGCAAAGGCUAACCUCAGGGGGAUUUGCACAGGAGGAAAAACAAGAUUGUAAAAACCUGCUGUUCUAGGAGUUGAAAUGUAUUAUUAUUAUGGCUAUGGUAGAACUCUUCUCUUCUUUGUCAUGCAGACUUAAAGUAUAAAACAGUCUUUAUUCCAGCUUGUUAAAAGUGGGAAUGCCGUAAACCAACACAGUGAGCCUGGAGCAAUGACAAGCUACACAAAAAUUAAACAUAUUUGUAUUUCAAGAUGUAGCGAGCUGUCGUGGCCAGUUCAUGGCCACUUUGGGAAGACAUUUAUUAGGAGGAAGCAAGAUGGCACUAAAGCGUGGGAGAGGACAGAAGCUGGAGCCGUCAUGGGUGCAGAAUAAGGCUGGCCCGGAAGAGUGGCUGGGUGGGGUCACACCUGGUAGUUCAGAUAUCUUUUGCUAUCGAUUUUCUAAUUUUCUAAGAUGAAGUGUUAAUGUCCCAGCGUGUGGAUGGUGCCUCCGGAUGGACAAUUCAGGUUGCAUGCCCCAGACCUCGUGAUUGGGACUGGCCAGAACAGACAAGACCCCAUCAGCAGGAUGGACAAGACCCCAUCAGCGGGAUGGACCCCAUGGAAAAAAAAAAAAUCUAGGAACUAAGACACGAUUGGGCAGGAGGCUGGGAAACUUACUAGGAAGGAUCAAGGUUGACUUUGCCACCAUGACCUAGCCACGAACACGAUGGGAAGAAGGCUGUGGAGUGGGGCUGUGGGCAGUGCCUCCCGGGGCCCUGAAUGAAGCAAGCUUGGAGAGGGAGCUGGUGUGUGGGUCUGAGUGGCUUCUUUAAUGUCAGCAUGCGCCUAUGAGGUGCUGACGUAGCCUUAUUGCCUCUUUGAGAGUUGGCUUCCCAUAGGGACAUCCUAGACACUGGAAGAUUUUUGCAUCGGCAUCUUCAGUCCAUCAAAUACUGUCCUUGAAAUCCCACUGUCCUCAGUUGGUGAUGGACAGGGGACAGACAUUUGUGGUCUCAUGCUGAGGGUCUUAGGAAGGCAAGAGGUGGAUAAAAGAGUCAGGGAUUGAGGGCCGGGCACGGUGGCUCACACCUGUAAUCCCAGCACUUUGGGAGGCCGAGACAGGCAGAUCACCCUAGGUCAGGAGUUUGAGACCAGCCUGCCCAAUAUGGCAAAACCCCGUCUCCAUUAAAAAUACAAAAAAUUAGCUGGGUGUGGUGGCGGGCACCUGUAAUCCUAGCUAGUCGAGAGGCUGAGGCAGGAGAAUUGCAUGAACCUGGGAGGUGGAGGUUGCAGUGAACUGAGAUCAUGCCACUGCACUCCAGCCUGGGAGACAAGAGCAAAACUCCGUCUCCCCCCCGCAAAAAAAAAAAAAAAAAAAAAAAAAAGAAAAGAAAAGAAAAAAGAGUCAGGGCUUGAAAGUGAGAGGAUCCAAACUGCAUCCUGUCCUGCCCACAGGGUGUUCUGUCCACCUUAAGUUUGACAUGGUGGUUCUGAACCAAGCCUGAGACUGUGUUGGGAUGAAAUUCCUGGGGGCUGUAGAGUUGGGCAGUCUGUGCUGAGCAUUCCAUCACACGUGCCAUUCCACACCAUUUGGAGAUCGAGCAGAACAGGUUUGAUUGAUGCCGGGUCAUUUUGUUUUAGAUCAUUUUCACAUUUAUGAUCUCUGGGAUUAUGGAAGAGGUCUGUGAUUCUUGUGAUUUCAAGAGAGGGGAUUUAAAAAUGGAUAGGGAGGUUUGUCACAGAUUCAUGAGACCUGGGAGUGAGAAGGAAAGCGGAGUCAGAGAGGUGGAGAAUGGGUGGGUGACCAUCCUUGACCUGGGAUCUCUGUGACCAGGACUCUCUCCAUUUCUCAUCCAAAUGUCCUUUUUGGAGGUCUCAUCCUUGUCAUGGUGGUGACAAGACAUGGAACUUACCACUUCUGAGGACUUGAACACCCUGAGAGCCUGAGGCUGCAGAAAUGACCGUGGCAGGUUCCCUGCCAUUCACGGAAACUGAAAUGUGCCAAAGAGCUUAUAUCCAAGCCAAACAGCGUUUGUAUUGGAGAAGUUGCCUUUCUCUCAAAAAGGAUGGAUAGGAAGCAGUUUUUAAAAAAAAUCUGCCUGCUUUCUGAAGAUGAACACAAAUCUGGUUACAUCCAACAGAAGAUAGAAUGAUUAUACAACAUGAGGCUUAAAUGUUUGUCUUUUAAAAUGUUCUUAGGUUAUGCAGCAAGAGUUUACAGUAGCCAACCUGUAUUUCCAAGGAGAUUUAAUCAGAGGAAGUAUCAAAGAAUUGAAGAUUAGUAUGAUUUUGAAGGUUUUCCUAAUUAUUUUUCUGAUGAUCUCUUCUCAACUAACAGAGCUGUUAAGUAGAGUUGAUUAAACAAUGUCAAUUUUUUGAAAAGCCCUUAAUGACAUAUUUACACAGUAGUUAUGAAGAGCCCCCCAAAGCCCAUCAUGGAUUAUAGGAGCAAGUUAUAGCCAUUAAAACCAUCUGUGAUUAUUUUUUUGUAGUAGAGAGUGAUGUCAAGCCAUCAGCUUCUGUUCAACAUAUUUCUUAGAAAAGGAUGUCUCAAAACUUCUUCGAGACCGUCACGAAAUGAAACAACUCCCCGAUCCCACACGAACCUCUCCCACCACCCUCAAACAUAAACCAACCCAAACCCUUUGAAAAGCUCCAAAGAAAAUAAAAUGUUUUUAGAACUUC